The sequence is a ribosomal RNA, 437 nucleotides long. It matches the Rfam family "Bacterial small subunit ribosomal RNA", at positions 341 to 792 of the family's 1533-position model.
ACGGGAGGCAGCAGUGGGGGAUAUUGCACAAUGGGCGAAAGCCUGAUGCAGCAACGCCGCGUGAGGGAAGACGGUUUUCGGAUUGUAAACCUCUGUCUUUGGUGAAGAAGAAAGUGACGGUAGCCAAGGAGGAAGCCACGGCUAACUACGUGCCAGCAGCCGCGGUAAUACGUAGGUGGCAAGCGUUGUCCGGAAUUACUGGGUGUAAAGGGAGCGCAGGCGGGACUGCAAGUUGGAUGUGAAAUACCGCAGCUUAACUGCGGAGCUGCAUCCAAAACUGUAGUUCUUGAGUGGAGUAGAGGUAGGCGGAAUUCCGAGUGUAGCGGUGAAAUGCGUAGAUAUUCGGAGGAACACCAGUGGCGAAGGCGGCUUACUGGACGAUAACUGACGUUGAGGCUCGAAAGCGUGGGGAGCAAACAGGAUUAGAUACCCUGGUA